GUUUCGUCUUCUGCAGUUUGCAAAAUUGAAAUCGUCCAUCAUUAUGCAACGCGAGUAAUCUGCAGGAGUCGUAGAAUUGUGGUUCUGUGGGAGGAGUGACAACGGAUAUGCUGUAGCGAGCGUAGAGAGAAUUUCAGUAUGGAUUGGAUGCCGUGUGACGAAAGAUGUUCGUAUUGAAAAAUUGUAAUGGGCAAAUGAGAAACUUAAACAGUUUACCAAUGAAACAUUAAGAAAAUCUGUAUUCGUAGUAAUUCGAUUAUUUAAAAUGACUGUAAAAUGUGUAAUAAUCGUGUAAAAUAUUGUUGGUUCUGUGGAUUGUUGGUUCUGUGUGUGGACUUGGAGCGACUAAUUGGAUUUUUUUCAUAACGAAGUUCUGGGCAAGGCAUCGUGAAAGAAUUCAUCGUUCAAUGCAGAUGCCACCACCUCCAUUACAUGGUGCCCUGCAACCUAGUUCUGUGGCUCCACCAAUAAGACCACCUUCAUCAGGACCAUUACCAUUUCCACCUGGACAUCCUCCACCUCCACCUCCUCCUCCACCACCACCACCAUCAGGUGGUAUACCACCUCCACCGCCAGUACCUCCACCCGUGUCGAGUUAUGCAGGCAUGCCUCCACCUCCACCACCACCAACCGUUCCUCCUCCUCCACCACCUCCACCCAGUACUAGUUCUUCUCAGAUACCAGUACCUUCCAGUAAUGAACCCGGACCUGGUGAGAUGAUGCAACAAAGACAGGUAUCACCCGCUAUGCCACCACAACCUAUGGGAAUGCCGCCACCACCGCCCCCACCACCAUUCCAGGGAGGAGGUAUGCCUCCUCCGCCACCACCCGGAAUGCGACCACCCCCACAAAUGAGCAUGAACUUUGGACCCAGACCGCCACCUUUUGUUAAAUUAUAAGAAGAGAGAUUCCUCAUCAACGUCAACAUAUAUUUCGAAAUGCAAUCCGUUAUUCAGAAAAAUUUCAAUUCUGCGAGAAUAUUCAUUGCUAAUACAGAAGCUGAAGAAAGCGGCUCUGAAAUGUUUGAGAGCGAAUGGAAACCUUUACUAAAAUAUGUCUGAAGUAUUAAUUCAUCAAGAUGUCGGAAGUGUUAAUAGCAUCCGAAGUAUCCUGUAAUUAAAAAAGCUUCCAAAUUUCAAAUAGAUAAAAUUCAUACUUAAUACCUGGGCGAACAAAAAUUUCCGUGAAUUUUUCAUGAACCGUCGGUUUUGUUCCUCACUACUCGGACACUCACUUUGUGGGCCUGGCCUAUUCCAAGAUGAGUAAAUCAGUAUUAAAAAAAGGCCUUCUUAGUACCCAUAAAAAUAUAAUUAAAAAGAAAACGCAUUUCACACCCAUUUUAUUCUGACAACAAUAAUGAUGUAUAGGAAAUAUAAAAUAAACUUUGUUUUAUUAUUGUUAUUAUUAAGAAUGUAUACACAAGAACUUGUAAUAAAGAAAUGUAAAGAGAAAUAAUGACUUUCUCGACAUUAUUUGCAACAAAAUCAAUCGAUGAAGUGUAUUUUUUAUCAAAGGCUCCAUGAACUAACAAACCUUCAAUAUUUCUCAAAAUUACGUAAAGCGAAUGGUAAAGGAAACAUUUCCAGUUUAUCAAUAUAUAUUCAAAAAUNUAAGAAAAUGAAUAAAGUUCAAGUAUUUUCAUCUCAAGAUGAAUCUGAAAGCAAUGGAGACAACAUGGCUGACUUACAGAGUCAUUGGAAGCCAUUAAUGAUAAAUAUGAAUAUUCUUGGCUUAAAAUUUGAAAAUAAAUAUUCUUUGCAUACUGUCUUCAUGCUGUUUGGCGCUACAAUGGUUCCAGUUGCCUAUGUUUCUUUUGCAUUUAUAAUAAUGUACAAGCAAUCAAUUAUAAUGUAUACGUUUAUUUUCCUGUAUUUUUCUGUUUCAUUUACAUUUUACUUCAUAUUCUUGUAUCACU
This is an RNA transcript of Centruroides sculpturatus (bark scorpion), 1915 nucleotides long. It is a transcript of the gene named neural Wiskott-Aldrich syndrome protein-like, with no coding region annotated. Lineage: Eukaryota; Metazoa; Arthropoda; Arachnida; Scorpiones; Buthidae. The transcript has 11 exons. The record is from RefSeq and is a predicted model, not a curated record.